AGAGAAGAGAAGAGAAGAGAAGAGAAGAGAAGAGAAGAGAAGAGAAGAGAAGAGAAGAGAAGACUAGCUUUUUGAUCUAUGCUGAAAGGUCAUAUUUGUCUCCCUGCAAAGAUGCAAACCUGAAAACAUUUGCACUGAUCCACUGGGCAACAGUCCCUUCAAGCUGAUCACAGUGCAUGGAAAGAAGAAGCCCUCCCAGACAAACUAGUAUGUUAAAGCCACCAAGGUGAUUUACUGUGCCCAGCUGUCGCAGAAGGCAGCCUUCCCUGCACUGCCAAGGGAGUGUAGAAGCUGUCUGGCAUUUCAUGCAUGAUACCUAACACUAGCACAGUCAAGCCCAGGUUUCCAGGUCACAUCCAACUCCAUAUUGCAAGGUGCUGAGUAACAGCUUAUGAUCCCUAUCAAGUAAUGGCUCCAGGGUUUGUUUACCAACAUCCACUGGAGACUCCAGCUUUUCUGUAGAAACAGAAACCGAGCCCAGGCUUAUCCAGGAAACCCAAAAGUCCACGUGGGCACAUCCAUAGAGAAGACAGCCACAGCUCAGCCUCCUGUUCUACCUCUUGGACUGCUGUGUCCCU
This is a long non-coding RNA of Passer montanus (Eurasian tree sparrow), 578 nucleotides long. RefSeq lists it as uncharacterized. The record is from RefSeq and is a predicted model, not a curated record. The transcript is spliced from 4 exons. Lineage: Eukaryota; Metazoa; Chordata; Aves; Passeriformes; Passeridae.